This 684-nucleotide ribosomal RNA is filed under the name Pleurotus citrinopileatus. Its description in RNAcentral is "eukaryotic LSU rRNA". The stretch from base 269 to 422 matches the Rfam family "5.8S ribosomal RNA". Lineage: Eukaryota; Fungi; Basidiomycota; Agaricomycetes; Agaricales; Pleurotaceae. The record is from RNAcentral.
GAAGUAAAAGUCGUAACAAGGUUUCCGUAGGUGAACCUGCGGAAGGAUCAUUAAUGAAUUCGCUUUUGAAGCUGAAUGCUGGCCCUUAGGGGCAUGUGCACGCUUCAUUAGUCCCCUUUCACACCCCUGUGCACCUUUGAUAGAUUCGCUGGAAAGACGGUCGCCUCACGGUGACUUGAACUCCGGUGGGUCUAUAACCAUUACACACACAAACGUAUGUCUACGAAUGUCAUUUAUAUGGGCCAUGCUGCCUAUAAAAACCUAAUACAACUUUCAACAACGGAUCUCUUGGCUCUCGCAUCGAUGAAGAACGCAGCGAAAUGCGAUAAGUAAUGUGAAUUGCAGAAUUCAGUGAAUCAUCGAAUCUUUGAACGCACCUUGCGCCCCUUGGUAUUCCGAGGGGCAUGCCUGUUUGAGUGUCAUUAAAUUCUCAAACCUACCUUUUGCUUUGCUGUAAAUCGUAGUGUUUGGAUUGUUGGGGGUUGCUGGCUUGUCACCGAGUCGGCUCCUCUUAAAUGCAUUAGCGGGACUUUGUUGUUGCCUCUGCUACAUGGUGUGAUAAUUAUCUACGCCAGACCGUACGCAAUGAUACUUAUUGGAGUCCAGCUCUCUAAUCGUCUUCGGACAGCUUUCUGACCAUUUGACCUCAAAUCAGGUAGGACUACCCGCUGAACUUAAGCAUAU